CCAAUAGCGUAUAUUAAAGUUGUUGCAGUUAAAAAGCUCGUAGUUGAAUUUCGAGAUCAAUUUGUCGGUCGUGCCUCGGUACGUACUGGCAUUAUUGGUUUCUCCCUUCUGAAGAACCGCGAUGUCAUUAAUUUGGUGUCGUGGGGAAUCAGGACUGUUACUUUGAAAAAAUUAGAGUGUUUAAAGCAGGCGCACGCUUGAAUACAUUAGCAUGGAAUAAUGCAAUAGGACGUUUGAUUCUAUUUUGUUGGUUUCUAGGAUCGACGUAAUGAUUAAUAGGGAUAGUUGGGGGCAUUAGUAUUCAAUUGUGAGAGGUGAAAUUCUUGGAUUUAUUGAAGACUAACUACUGCGAAAGCAUUUGCCAAGGAUGUUUUCAUUAAUCAAGAACGAAAGUUAGGGGAUCGAAGACGAUCAGAUACCGUCGUAGUCUUAACCAUAAACUAUGCCGACUAGGGAUCGGAUGAUGUUAAUUUUUUAAUGACUCAUUCGGCGCCUUACG
RNAcentral lists this ribosomal RNA (499 nucleotides) under uncultured Glomeromycotina. Its description in RNAcentral is "partial small subunit ribosomal RNA". It matches the Rfam family "Eukaryotic small subunit ribosomal RNA", at positions 591 to 1092 of the family's 1831-position model. The record is from RNAcentral. Lineage: Eukaryota; Fungi; Glomeromycota.